UCGGGAAUAUUGUGCAAUGGGGGGAACCCUGACACAGCAAUGCCACGUGAGUGAAGAAGGUCUUCGGAUCGUAAAGCUCUUUUAUCGGAGAAGAGGAUGACAUUAUCCGAAGAAAAAGCACCGGCUAACUACGUGCCAGCAGCCGCGGUAAUACGUAGGGUGCAAGCGUUGUUCGGAAUUAUUGGGCGUAAAGGGCAUGCAGGCGGAAAAUUAAGCAAGUGGUGAAACUCUGAAGCUCAACUUCAGACUGGCUUCUUGAACUAAUUUUCUUGAGAGGAUGAGAGGUUAGCGGAAUUUCCGGUGGAGAGGUGGAAUUCGUAGAGAUCGGAAGGAAUGUCGGAGGCGUAAGCGGCUAACUGGCAUCACUCUGACGCUGAGGUGCGAAAGCGUGGGGAGCGAACAGGAUUAGAUACCCUGGUAGUCCACGCUGUAAACGAUGGAUACUAGAUGUUUUGGGGAUUAAACUCUUCAGAGUAUCGCAGCUAACGCAUUAAGUAUCCCGCCUGGGAG
RNAcentral lists this ribosomal RNA (510 nucleotides) under uncultured marine bacterium. RNAcentral describes it as "bacterial SSU rRNA". It matches the Rfam family "Bacterial small subunit ribosomal RNA", at positions 355 to 879 of the family's 1533-position model. The record is from RNAcentral.